GCUCCCACAGGAUAACAGCUUAUCCGUUGGUCUUAGGAACCAAAAAUUCUUGGUGCAAAUCCAAGUGGUUGCU
This 73-nucleotide transfer RNA is filed under the name Brycon nattereri. RNAcentral describes it as "tRNA-Leu". It matches the Rfam family "tRNA". From Rfam's summary of the family: Transfer RNA (tRNA) molecules are approximately 80 nucleotides in length. Their secondary structure includes four short double-helical elements and three loops (D, anti-codon, and T loops). Further hydrogen bonds mediate the characteristic L-shaped molecular structure. tRNAs have two regions of fundamental functional importance: the anti-codon, which is responsible for specific mRNA codon recognition, and the 3' end, to which the tRNAs corresponding amino acid is attached (by aminoacyl-tRNA synthetases). tRNAs cope with the degeneracy of the genetic code in two manners: having more than one tRNA (with a specific anti-codon) for a particular amino acid; and 'wobble' base-pairing, i.e. permitting non-standard base-pairing at the 3rd anti-codon position. The record is from RNAcentral. Lineage: Eukaryota; Metazoa; Chordata; Actinopteri; Characiformes; Bryconidae.